RNAcentral lists this long non-coding RNA (848 nucleotides) under Sus scrofa (pig). RNAcentral describes it as "lncRNA (ENSSSCG00030008329.1)". The record is from RNAcentral. Lineage: Eukaryota; Metazoa; Chordata; Mammalia; Artiodactyla; Suidae.
AGUUCUGUGCCCAUUCUCCUCUCUGUGGGACAAGCCAACAUCCAUGAGUCCAGAUAUCACAGAGGCCAGUCCUGGAGCUGUCUGGACAGAUUUCCUUCCAGCUAAUGUUACUGAACUCCACUGUAUGCCACGCCCUUCAGCAGGUGCAUUUUCUGAGCUAUGGCAUAGCAGCUGAGACCAUGGAUCCUUAGCUUCCCUAUCUGUGCUGGAGACCUGUCUCCUCCAGUGACGUGUCAAUAUACAGACGAUGCUUAGAAUGCUGCCUGUGCACAAUAAAUGCUCAACAAAGCCCUGCACAUGGAGCACUCGGGAGCAUUGUCACCAGGAUGACCCAAGAAUCUUCAGUUUUCAGAAGUCAAAGAAUGGACAUGUUGCCACCAGAGCCCUUUACCAAGUGAGAAGUCCUUCAAUGAAGAGAACCUGGCUUCCAGCAGCUGGAGCAGCUUAUAUUGAGUGAUUCAAGACUAGCCAGUCAGCUUUCGAGGUUAAAAUUCCCCUAACUCCUUAAAUUUCACCCAGAACCCUGGCUGCAGGAGACAGGUUUGCAAGUCUUGCUGCCUGUCUUUUUGUCAGUCGACCUCACAAUCUACUCUUUCUUUUCUCAAAAGCUAAUGCUCUGUUUCUCAUCUUCUUUGCCUUUUGAGUAGCCUAGUUUCUUACUCAGUAAUAAUUAUUGCAAAACAGGGAAGGGAAAGGAGAGGGAAAAAGAAGGAGGGGGAAGGGAGGGGGCCUGGGGCCUGAAAUUUUCCAAGCUGUCUCUCUGUGGCUCUGUUGUGUGAGAGAAACCUUAGUCUAAAGAACACUCAUUGCCACCUCCCAAAGGAAAAGGGGGUCAGAAUGCUGUCUGC